AAGCCCCGGACACCUUUCAGUGACUUUUCCAAAUUUGCACUUUGGUAUUAUCAGAGCU
This 58-nucleotide transfer RNA is filed under the name Dibamus novaeguineae. RNAcentral describes it as "tRNA-Cys". The record is from RNAcentral. Lineage: Eukaryota; Metazoa; Chordata; Lepidosauria; Squamata; Dibamidae.